UAAGGUGACUGCCGGCUAAAAGUCGGAGGAAGUGGGGAUGACGUCAAAUCAUCAUGCCCCUUAUGACCUGGGCUACACACGUGCUACAAUGGGCGGUACAAAGGGUCGCGAACCCGCGAGGGGGAGCCAAUCCCAAAAAGCCGCUCUCAGUUCGGAUUGCAGGCUGCAACUCGCCUGCAUGAAGCCGGAAUCGCUAGUAAUCGCGGAUCAGCAUGCCGCGGUGAAUACGUUCCCGGGCCUU
Molecule: ribosomal RNA, 241 nt
Filed under: uncultured Anoxybacillus sp.
Lineage: Bacteria; Bacillati; Bacillota; Bacilli; Caryophanales; Anoxybacillaceae
Description: partial 16S ribosomal RNA
Rfam family: Bacterial small subunit ribosomal RNA
Source: RNAcentral